GAUCUCUCUGCCCCCUCCCAGCGGGACUGCAAACCACAAGCUGUUGCAGCCCCAGCUGGAAGAAUGAGGGGGCCUUCCCAUACAGAAAUCUGCAGUGAUGCCCUGGGGGCCUGGAGUCCUGUUCCUGUGCCUGAAUUCCCUUCUCCCUGUAAUUUUAUUGCCUUCAUCAUUCUUAUCAUCCCAGUUUGGACAGGCUCGAACUUGUGAUGGACCGGGCCUAAUGCCAGGCUUUCAUGCUGGUCAUCACCUCCUCUUGAAAUGCUCUACGUCCUCACCACGCCAAACUCUGUUCUUCGUUUAUGUGUUCCUUUGACUUGGAGUACAAUGAAAGUCCUCCUUUGACUUGGAGUACAAUGAAGAAGAUUUGUUGAGUUCAA
Long non-coding RNA from Piliocolobus tephrosceles (Ugandan red Colobus), 377 nucleotides. RefSeq lists it as uncharacterized. The transcript has 2 exons. The record is from RefSeq and is a predicted model, not a curated record. Lineage: Eukaryota; Metazoa; Chordata; Mammalia; Primates; Cercopithecidae.